This is a long non-coding RNA of Eriocheir sinensis (Chinese mitten crab), 863 nucleotides long. RefSeq lists it as uncharacterized. The transcript is spliced from 4 exons. Lineage: Eukaryota; Metazoa; Arthropoda; Malacostraca; Decapoda; Varunidae. The record is from RefSeq and is a predicted model, not a curated record.
CCACGUGUACCAGUCUCCCCCAGCCCAGCCCACGUGUACCAGUCUCCCCCAGCCCAGCCCACGUGUACCAGUCUCCCCCAGCCCAGCCCACUUCUACUAGUCUCCUCCAGCCCAGCCCACUUCUACCAGUCUCCUCCAGCCCAGCCCACUUCUACCAGUCUCCUCCAGCCCUGUGACGCCCCCCCGACAGUUUAACAAGCCCAGCCCAGCCUGGACAUGCUGACUGCCACAAGCACAAGCGUCUGCUAAAGCUGUUCUCUGAUAUAGCCCAGGAGCUCAAGUCUUGCUCAGUACCCAAUAAUAAGCAACCCGGGCAGCGACUACGAAGACUUUACAAACCCUGAAUUGGCAGCCUGGCCACAACAUGUCCUUGCGACAAGACCUCGUCCCCUCUGACUGGAAAAUGGAUUGCGUAACACCGAUUUUUAAGAAUUAUUGGUCCAUUAGUCUGACUUCACUAGUAGAAGAUGCAGCUGUAGCCGGACUGUUGCCUGCACCCCGAGAGCCCUGACACACUCCCUGUCCACCUCUGCGGGGGUCGUUUACUGCCCAUACAAGCACAGCGUGGGAAAACAAUUGGUCCGUUCGCAGCCUGGCGUCUUAAUCCCUAUCACCGCUACAGUUUUGAUUUCCCCUUCACUUCCCUGGCCAGAGGAGCGACUUAGCGCUUGUCAACGCUAAUUUGCAAAGAGAAUUUGACGUCUGAGAAUGUUGAGGAGAGUUAUUAAAUUAUUAGGAAGGAGGAACAGGAGGAGGAGGAGGGGAAGGUAAUGAAACUAGGAGGAAGAGGAAGGAGUAGUGAAAUGAUGGUUAGGUAUGGAUAGUUAUGUAGUUGGAGGAGCAGCAAGUGUUAAGGAGGAGAG